CAUCUACCGGGGCAUCUGCACCCAGGCCCCCGUGCUGUGUGGGGUGACUUCAGUCCCACGGGCCAAGAGGUGAGGCAUACCGCCUGCUCCACAGCCCCGGCUCCAAGCUGAGCUUCAGGGGGCUGAAGACCUGUGUCGCCACCCUCUGGCUGGGCCUCGUGUCCCUCCCGAGCAUGGGUCCCAGGGCCAGCCCCCCAUGGGGUGACGCGCAGAGCAGAAGUGCCCUCCUGCCAAGCCCGGCGGCGGACCUGGAGGCCUGCAGGGCUGUGGCCCGCAGCUCAGCGCCAACGUGCAGGAAGUAGGGGCUGAGGAAGAUGCGUCGCUGCAGCAGCAGAAAGAAGAAGCAGGCGCUGUCCCAGAUGAUGCCGGCCUCCUCCACAGGCAGCCGGCAGUCCUGGUCCUUGGUCACCAUCGCCUUGGCUGUGGGACAGGACCCCCGGGGUCAGAGCCAGAGCGGGGCCGUCCCUGUGCACCCGGCCACCAGCCUCGCCCACUCACGAUCAUAGUAACCCUUGACUGUGCACACGAGGCUGAAGAGCUGGAUGACCCAGCAGAAGCUGGUCUGCAUUUGCUCCACAAAGACACAGGACAGGAGCUGGGGGAGGAUGAGGGUCAGGGGGCCGCCAGGGCGGGUGGCGGGCGGUGGGCGGCGGAGAGGCCAGGCUGUCUCACCGAGAGCAUGUUCUUGGAGACGAUAACUGUGACAUUGUAGAGGAUGAGGCAGUCCCACAGCACAAGGCGGGCCCGCGUGUCCUUCUGCAGCAGCGCUGCAUGCCAAGAGCAGCAGGUAGAAGCAGGCCAACAGAUAGCCCAGCCCGAAGACACUGAUGCGGGUGGCACCGGUGACGAACACCACCACCAGCACCAGCCAGAACAGGUAGCGGAACACAGCCACCUUCAGCAUAUCCAGUGAGAGAAAAGUAAGACACUAGCCAUGAAAAGACACUGACCUCAGUGGGACCAGGGACACCACGCCUGCAGUGAUGCCCAAGACCAUGGCCUAGCACACAGGACACACGGACACCCCCACACCGAGGGACCCGCUAAGGGACAAGGGCCCAGCUCUGCUCAAGGAGCAGAAGACAAGAGAAGACAACACGGCCCAGUGGUGAGGGGCCAACACGACCAGGGUGGAACUCGGUGGUGCGGAUGGAGGCGGCACAGGCCGGACAGGCAGUGAGCUCCGCGGGCCAGUGGUGUCACAACACCACUGCCUUCUUAAUCUGGACAUCGCUCUUGGGGUCUGUGACAGGCUGGCACCAAGGAAAAUGGGAAUGAGGUGCUGCAGAACUCUAUCACCUUUGCAGCUCUUUGGUAUGUGUGCACAGAAAGUUAAACACCACAGCGAAAGGGGUGAUGCUGCGUGAAAGGGGUGAAUCUGGAAAGAUGGCAGUGGUGUGCUACCAAACCCUCUCCAGAGACGUCCUGGGCAGCACAGCGUGGCCGCGUCUGUGGCUGGGCCUUGACCUUGAUCUGCCACCGCCGACCCUGCAAAUCCAUCCCCUGGGCACGUAGACCCCACUGAGGGCAC
Molecule: long non-coding RNA, 1531 nt
Filed under: Heterocephalus glaber (naked mole-rat)
Lineage: Eukaryota; Metazoa; Chordata; Mammalia; Rodentia; Bathyergidae
Description: lncRNA (ENSHGLG00000039582.1)
Source: RNAcentral